CAGGACCCCAGCUUCCAUCCUCACGUUGUGUGGACAUGGUCCAGCUUCCUGCCGCGGACCAUGAGCAAUCCAAGGGUAGGGGAGCCUCAAGAGGGAGACACUGAGCCUUUACGUAAUGAGGCAGGGAGGGGUUCAAGCAAUUAAUUGAGAAAGGAUGUGACAGGACUGGCACCUGGUCACUUUGUGGCCGUGAGCACCAGCUCCGCCUAUCCCCUCUGCAGGGCAGAAGGGACAGUGCUGCGGGAGGCGGAGGUGCUGUGGCUCUGGGAAGGCUGAAAAGGGACGGCUGCAAAGGAGAAGAGCUUCGAGUCCUUUCCAUCAGGAGAAAAACCCGGUCAGCUGUGGAGGAGCACUGCACAGGAGUCAGAAAGUGGAGUCUGGGCGUGACCUUGCACCUGACCAGCCUGGGGCUCUAGGUCCGCCACAUCUGGACUAAUCUCCUGUGUCCUGAGCUCCCAGGACCCCAGAGGCAAGCAUGGAGGGGCCACGCUGGCAGGUAAAGUUGAACCCACAGUGGCUUAGGACGAGCUCCUGCACAGCGGCCUGUUUCCCAAUUGCAUCGUGUAUCUCUUUGCCUCUCUUGGCUCAGCCAUGGCCCCAGCCCCAGGCCAUCCAAGGGGCAGCCUGGUGAGGUUUCUUCAACUUUGCUAAUGACUUGACCUACAGUCUUAAGUCAAGAAGGUGUCGCUCUCCUUUGUGAUGGCUGGACGCACAGGAGCUGUGGUCAGGAUGGGGCUAGAGGAGCUGAAAUCCCAGGGCAACAAGGGUAUUUAAAAACACAUCGCAGGAGAAACAGCUAAAGAGUCUUGGAACCAGGAAUCAUAAGCUGUUUGAUGGGAUGAACUAUCUUGGGAGUGAUGAGGUCCCCAUCACUGAAAGUAUUCAAGCAGAGAGAGUCAUGGAAUUAGGAGACGGAAGAGCAUCAGACACUGAAUGAAGUCUGCACUACAUGAGAUGAAGAACCCUUCCAGCCCUGAGGCCGAGCAGCCACUUCUCUGGAGCAGGCUGGCCCAUCUAUGUCCAGGAGGCCAGCCCCAGGCUAGCUUCUGAGCACGGGGAGCUAAGUCCUUCGCCUUCCAGAGACUGCACAAAGUGUGUGCCACCUCCACAGAACCCUCCUCAUCCACCCGAGAACUCUUCCUCACCUGACCUAAAGCUCUUCAUUUCAUACCACCUUUCAAGCGAAUUAAGGAUUAAUUGCCAGCAGCAAUCUCUGUCUUUGUUUGUUUUCUCUAAUGGAAAACCUUUCUCUCGGGAGGGUAAGGUUAUCAGUCAUUCACAGCUCAGUUGUGCUGUGUUUGAUUAGACUGGACGGCAAAGCUGAGUCCUGUUUCGGCUCUGUGCGAUCCUGGGCCCCUUGGAGCCUGUUUUCUCAUCUAUGAAAUGGGAGUAAUAAUAGUGCUUAUUGCACAGUUGUUUUAAGAACUAAAAAUUUAAAUUGCCUAGAAUGUUAUACAAACAUAAGCUGCCAUAUUUUGGAAAAAUGAGCCAAGAUCAGUGGUGCCAAGGGAAGAAUGGGCAGAGGUGAGCUGUGGGCAGCCGUGGAGGAUGGUCCACGGUGUGGCUGCCAGAGGGCAUCGGGGGCCAGGCAACUCCAGAAAGGAGCUAGGAAUGUUAGAGAAAACUGCACUAACAGCCAGCAUGCGUGAAGAACUGAUUCAUACUACACCGUGGAUGAACCUCAAGAACAUUAUUCUCGGCAAAAGCAGACAGACACAAAAGGUCACAUAGCAAAUGCUUCCGUUGAUAUGAAAUGUCCAGCACUGGCAAAUCCACAGAGACAGAAAGUAGAUUAGUAAUAGCCAGCGGCUGCAGACAGGGAAGGAGGGGAGUGAUGACUUAAUGGGUACAGGGAUUUUAUUUUGGGGUAAUGAAGAUAUUUUGGAAUGAGACAGAGCUGGUGGCUGCAUAGAGCACUAUGAAAGUGCUAAUUGCCAUUGAAUUAUUCACUUCAAAACAGUUAAUUUAACGCUAUGUGAAUUUCACCUCAAUAAAAAAGGUACAAAAUAAAAA
Molecule: long non-coding RNA, 2013 nt
Filed under: Homo sapiens (human)
Lineage: Eukaryota; Metazoa; Chordata; Mammalia; Primates; Hominidae
Description: SCTR antisense RNA 1, transcript variant 2 (SCTR-AS1)
Source: RNAcentral